GCUGCCUGUCCCUCCGCCGCUCCCUUCCCCCGAGCCGGGGUGCCGCGGUGAGCACCCCGCUCCGCGCCCGCUGGGGAGGCCCGGCCUGAGGCGGGCACCGUCCCCCGGCCCUUCCUCCAGCCCGGGAGCGGCCCGAGGAAAGCCUCUCCUCGGAGGAUGCGGGGAAGGGAAGCGGCCGCGCUCCUGGCCCGGGAUCCAGCCGGCCCCACCUGCAGCAGCGAGGGGCUCUGCCGCCCUGGCCAGGCCUAGGUCAGCCUGCGGGGCUUGUUUCCUUUCGAGUUUUGCCCCGAGCCACGCGUUUUUGUAGACACGGAGCCGAAUAUCGCGAUGGACGCACGGCAGCGUUUGGGUGUGACGGGAUCCCCCCUGAAGCAUCAUCCGCCACCAAGUUAACCUGCCCCUGGCCAGACAUCCUUCCAGAAGCGCCGAGGAGAACUUCCAGAGCGGCAAAAGAGAAGAGAAACAAAGUCCAAAAUGAAGUACGAACCUGUGUCCCGUGUGCCCGCCCGCCAGGCAGGGUGGGUGAGUCCCGGCGAGCCGUCCCGCGGAGCAGCCGGUCCCCUCCUAGUUGCCGCCGGCCGAGGCCGAGCGUCCCGCCGCACGCAUCCUGCGGGCGAGAGAAAGAGGCUGCGAUUUGUAAACUCGCACCAAUCGCGGAGGAUCCGAAGGGAUGUUAAAAGCUGGGAUCUAGUCCUUUUUCUGGAGUGAAGUCAGUCGUGUCCGUGGCUUUUGAUUUUUUUUAUACUCCUCUGUCUGUUGUUGUUGUUGUUGUAGGGUUUUAUUUUUCCCUGUUGCACUCCCCCUCUAGCAAAUAAGAGAUGGUUUUAUACUCUUGUCCACAGGGCGUUAAAGGGGGAAAAGAGAAAAACCACUUUGUCCGAAAUUGCAGGCAAAUAUAAUUUUUACAAGCUCUCAAUUAGCCAUCCCUUGGAUUAGCACCUUCUUACGCCUCCUCGCCAGAAUAAAGCAGCCGUAAUCUUGUUGCUAUUUCCCCCU
Molecule: long non-coding RNA, 996 nt
Filed under: Lonchura striata (white-rumped munia)
Lineage: Eukaryota; Metazoa; Chordata; Aves; Passeriformes; Estrildidae
Description: domestica (Bengalese finch) lncRNA (ENSLSDG00000009596.1)
Source: RNAcentral